This 460-nucleotide ribosomal RNA is filed under the name uncultured bacterium. Its description in RNAcentral is "partial 16S ribosomal RNA". It matches the Rfam family "Bacterial small subunit ribosomal RNA", at positions 338 to 795 of the family's 1533-position model. The record is from RNAcentral.
CCUACGGGAGGCAGCAGUGAGGAAUAUUGGUCAAUGGCCGUAAGGCUGAACCAGCCAAGUCGCGUGAAGGAUGAAGGACCUAUGGUUUGUAAACUUCUUUUAUAGGGGAAUAAAGGUAUCCACGUGUGGAUAUUUGCAUGUACUUUAUGAAUAAGCAUCGGCUAACUCCGUGCCAGCAGCCGCGGUAAUACGGAGGAUGCGAGCGUUAUCCGGAUUUAUUGGGUUUAAAGGGUGCGUAGGUGGGUUUUUAAGUCAGCUGUGAAAGUUUGUGGCUCAACCAUAAAAUUGCCGUUGAGACUGGAAGUCUUGAGUGCAGUUGAGGUAGGCGGAAUGCGUGGUGUAGCGGUGAAAUGCAUAGAUAUCACGCAGAACCCCGAUUGCGAAGGCAGCUUACUAAGCCAUAACUGACACUGAAGCACGAAAGCGUGGGGAUCAAACAGGAUUAGAUACCCGAGUAGUC